This 319-nucleotide long non-coding RNA is filed under the name Lathyrus oleraceus (garden pea). RNAcentral describes it as "Pisum sativum (pea) long non-coding RNA (PSAT_LNC008711)". Lineage: Eukaryota; Viridiplantae; Streptophyta; Magnoliopsida; Fabales; Fabaceae. The record is from RNAcentral.
CAGUUAGCCAAAAAGCCAACCCUGAAAUAAUUCCAUCCCUUGUUUGAAACCCCCUUGAGUCUAUUCUCCCUUUUUUCUUUAAAACUCAUUACAAGCCGAGAAGUGAAAAACAAUGUUAUCACCCUAUUCAAAGGGUUGAAAGAGUCUUGUUUGGAGUUGUGUGGGGUUGAAUAAUUAUGUUUGUAAUAUUUCAGAAGAUGGCAGAAAAAGAAAAAAAUAGAAAAAGAAAAUAGAAAAGAAAAAAAAAGGAAUGAAAAAAUAGAAGGAUAAGAGGAAGAAAAAAAGGAAUUAUGUUUGUAAUAUUUUAAUACAUGUCGAU